This 207-nucleotide long non-coding RNA is filed under the name Elaeis guineensis (African oil palm). RNAcentral's name for it is "long non-coding RNA (EGUI_LNC033369)". The record is from RNAcentral. Lineage: Eukaryota; Viridiplantae; Streptophyta; Magnoliopsida; Arecales; Arecaceae.
UCAUGUCAAGUUGCUAGUAUUAGGAGCGUUCGGAUGAGGAUGUUUGAUGGGAUAGUGCAGACUCUCACAAAUGUGAAGCACGUCCUUGAUUUAAAGAAGAAUCUUGUGUCCUUGGUUACCUGAAGCAAAGCGGCUAUAGCUUCAGCAAUCAUGCCAGGAGUAGGGUGUUGAACAUCUCAAAUGGAGCCAUGAUAGUGAUGAGAGGUA